This 934-nucleotide long non-coding RNA is filed under the name Helianthus annuus (common sunflower). The record is from RNAcentral. Lineage: Eukaryota; Viridiplantae; Streptophyta; Magnoliopsida; Asterales; Asteraceae.
GGGUUUCUUGCCUCCAGUGGUAUGAGCCAGAUCUCAUCGGAUCCAACAAUGGUGGUCAAGGCAAGUUCCAACAAUCCGAGAUCUAGGGUUUUAAUUUCAUGUCUGAGAUUUCAUGAUUCCACUUGGCUGAGGUAUCUUCUCUGGCGGCGGCAGUGAAUGUGACAAGGGUGUACGGGAGUUACGUGUUUGGAGACUCGAUGAAAAUGGGUGGCACCGGCAUCAACAGCAGGCGGCGGCUAGGGUUCUGACCAUGACCACCUGAUUAUCUACUAACAAAUAUUGGGAAUGUUCCUUUUAUUCAAGUUUUGGAGCUCAUUUUACAUUUGGGUACCGGUCUCGAAGAUUAUUCCAGGAUUUUGUUACGGAUCUUAUCUGGUAUGUUUGUGCAUCAUUCAUUGACCCAUUGUUUGUUGGCCCAGUUUUCGCUGAUACCAAAGCUGGUGAUGAUAUGUGUUGGGUUGAGCGACAGACAUGGAGGACGUAAAAAAGCUAGAAAAUUUCUUGGGGUGGGUAAAACCCUAACAACGUCGACGAAGCUGAACGGAAAAACCCUAAUAAGGUUUUGACUUUGGUGAAAAAGGUAUAAUAUAAUUCUACAGAGGCGAUGAUUAGUAGUGUUUUGGAGUUGUGGUUUCUAAGAAAGAGAAUAGAAAGGUGAGAGGGCGAUCAAUAGACAUAUUUGGUUUCAGAUAGACCAGUAGAGCAGAGCAUUCGAUAAAUGGUAUAGUUGGGUGAAUGGAUUUAGGGGAGUGGGCCCUCAACUGCAGGGUGGAAGUGUCCAUACAUAAGGGUAUUGUAAUCUCGAAACAAAUGUUGGUUAUGUAAGGUUAUCUAAAUUAUACAGCAGGAAUUACAAGAAUGCUAAACGGGCAGCGGUGCUGGGUCGAUUAAGGCACACGUUGCGUUUUUCGGCGAAGGGUGUGAUCAGCAAGUU